RNAcentral lists this long non-coding RNA (1147 nucleotides) under Homo sapiens (human). RNAcentral's name for it is "HSALNT0396280". The record is from RNAcentral. Lineage: Eukaryota; Metazoa; Chordata; Mammalia; Primates; Hominidae.
GGAAUGUCGUAAGGUGGGUUAAUUAGUUAAGGCAGGAACUGGCUGUUUCACUUCUUUGUGGUUUUUCGGCUGCUCCAGACUUCUUGGCUCCUGCAGGCCACCUGGACGGAUAUGUGCAGGUCACAGGGGUUACAAUGGCUAAGCUUCAGCUCACAGGCCUGACAUUUUUGUCUUUUUAUUUAUAAAAUAUGAAGUUGUAGGAAAAGAUUAAAAAAAAGUAGUGAGAACUUGUGACGGUGAAUAACUCUUCUCUUUCCUGGUACCUGGACUUCAGAGAUUAAUACAAAACCCUGUGGGUCAGGACUUGGCAACACCAAGAAGCAUUCAAAUAUAAUGAUUUAUUCAACUGUGUAUUGUCAUGGAAAUAAUAAUUAAAUGGCACAUCUUUGUUGUCUGAAAGGGAUAGAUACUUGUGCUUCUCUUGUUGAGCUAUAUAAAAUACAAGCGCCUUACAAUUUGUCUUCCCUGCCUAUCUAUAUGGACACUGAGUUUGAGGGAUUUUGUUGGUUUCUUCAAACGCUGAGUAUUUUCUUUUAAAAGAAAGAAAUGGGGAGAUAAGAACAUUGAAGAUCUGUACCAAAAUCCUGGGAGAAAUUUAAGAAAUCAUAUGGUAGAGAGACCCUGUGAAAAUAAAGAAGGUAGUCAAUGUGGAGAAGCCUUCAGCCAGAUUCCAGGUCAUAAUCUGAAUAAGAAAACGCCUCCUGGAGUAAAGCCACCUGAAAGCCAUGUGUGUGGAGAGGUCGGCGUGGGCUAUCCAUCCACUGAAAGGCACAUCAGAGAUCGCCUUGGACGCAAACCCUGUGAAUAUCAGGAAUGUAGACAGAAGGCAUAUACAUGUAAGCCAUGUGGGAAUGCCUUUCGUUUUCACCACUCCUUUCACAUACACGAAAGGCCUCACAGUGGAGAAAACCUCUAUGAAUGUUAGGAAUUUCAGAAAACAUUCACUUCCCCCCCAAACCUUCAAAGAUGUGAAAAUGCAUAGUGGAGAUGGACCUUACAAAUGCAAGGUGGGUAGGAAAACCUUUGACUCUCCCAGUUCAUUUCGAAUACAUGGAAGAUCUCAUUCUGGAGAGAAACCCAAUGUGUGUAGGCACUGUGGGAGCACCUACAAUCAUUUCAGUUUUGUGUGUGUGUGUGUGUGUGUGUG